RNAcentral lists this small RNA (83 nucleotides) under Marmota monax (woodchuck). The record is from RNAcentral. Lineage: Eukaryota; Metazoa; Chordata; Mammalia; Rodentia; Sciuridae.
GCCGGGUGUGGUGGCACACACCUGUAAUCCCAGUGGCUCUGGAGGCUGAGGAAGGAAGAUUGUGAGUUCAAAGCCAGCCUCUC